CAGCCGCCGCGGGAAUACAGAGGGUGCGAGCGUUAAUCGGAUUUACUGGGCGUAAAGCGUGCGUAGGCGGCUUCUUAAGUCGGAUGUGAAAUCCCUGAGCUUAACUUAGGAAUUGCAUUCGAUACUGGGAAGCUAGAGUAUGGGAGAGGAUGGUAGAAUUCCAGGUGUAGCGGUGAAAUGCGUAGAGAUCUGGAGGAAUACCGAUGGCGAAGGCAGCCAUCUGGCCUAAUACUGACGCUGAGGUACGAAAGCAUGGGGAGCAAACAGGAUUAGAUACCCCGGUAGUCCCUGUCUCUUAUCC
This 301-nucleotide ribosomal RNA is filed under the name uncultured bacterium. Its description in RNAcentral is "partial 16S ribosomal RNA". It matches the Rfam family "Bacterial small subunit ribosomal RNA", at positions 509 to 809 of the family's 1533-position model. The record is from RNAcentral.